Molecule: non-coding RNA, 387 nt
Organism: Passer domesticus (house sparrow)
Lineage: Eukaryota; Metazoa; Chordata; Aves; Passeriformes; Passeridae
Source: the annotation of a RefSeq genome assembly
AUGGGGAUGAGGCACCAGAUUGGCUGUGGGCCCGAAGUGAGGCUGCGGGCGGCCGUGACCCUGCUGGAGUCCAGGGGGGACCUCCAGCCCCCCGGGGGGUCCCUGCGCCUCCUCUGCCGAGGCUCUGGGUUCGAUUUUGGGGGUUCCACCAUGUACUGGGUUCGCCAGAGACCCAGGCAGGCGCUGGAGUGGCUCGCAGGGUUCAGCACCAGUGGCAGCACCUACUACGCGCCCUCGGUCAAGGGCCGGGUCAGGAUCUCCAGGGACAACGGGCAGAGCUCGGUGACGCUGACCAUGAACAACCUCAAGGACGAGGAUUCCGGAUCCUAUUUCUGCGCCAAAGCUGCCGGUGCUUAUGGUGAUGGUGCUGCUGGUUAUGGUCGAUGA